UUUUCAAUUUUCCUCGGGAGUUAACUGCCGAAGUUUUCCUCGGCAGUUAACUGCCGAGGGACAU
This 64-nucleotide microRNA precursor is filed under the name Medicago truncatula (barrel medic). Its description in RNAcentral is "MIR2629 microRNA precursor family". It matches the Rfam family "MIR2629 microRNA precursor family". Lineage: Eukaryota; Viridiplantae; Streptophyta; Magnoliopsida; Fabales; Fabaceae. The record is from Rfam by way of RNAcentral.